This is a small nucleolar RNA of Phyllostomus hastatus (greater spear-nosed bat), 133 nucleotides long. The record is from RefSeq and is a predicted model, not a curated record. Lineage: Eukaryota; Metazoa; Chordata; Mammalia; Chiroptera; Phyllostomidae.
AUCCAAAGUGUUUAGUUCAGUUCAGGGCAGCUCCCCUCUCUGUUCAUUACACUAGGGGACAUUGGAACACGGGCCAGGGGAAAUGCUUGGAUAGAAAGCAAUACUCUAUUCCUUUACUUUCCCAUCUGCAAAA